This 253-nucleotide ribosomal RNA is filed under the name uncultured bacterium. RNAcentral's name for it is "partial 16S ribosomal RNA". It matches the Rfam family "Bacterial small subunit ribosomal RNA", at positions 524 to 776 of the family's 1533-position model. The record is from RNAcentral.
UACGUAGGGUGCAAGCGUUAAUCGGAAUUACUGGGCGUAAAGCGUGCGCAGGCGGCUUUGCAAGUCAGAUGUGAAAUCCCCGGGCUUAACCUGGGAACUGCAUUUGUGACUGCAUGGCUAGAGUGCGGCAGAGGGGGAUGGAAUUCCGCGUGUAGCAGUGAAAUGCGUAGAUAUGCGGAGGAACACCGAUGGCGAAGGCAGGUCUCUGGGCAUUAACUGACGCUGAGGAGCGAAAGCAUGGGGAGCGAACAGG